Molecule: ribosomal RNA, 505 nt
Filed under: uncultured bacterium
Lineage: Bacteria
Description: bacterial SSU rRNA
Rfam family: Bacterial small subunit ribosomal RNA
Source: RNAcentral
UACCAUCCUUUGACAUCCAGUGAAUUUUCCAGAGAUGGAUUAGUGCCUUCGGGAACACUGAGACAGGUGCUGCAUGGCUGUCGUCAGCUCGUGUUGUGAGAUGUUGGGUUAAGUCCCGCAACGAGCGCAACCCUUAUCCUUAGUUGCCAGCACGUAAUGGUGGGAACUCUGGGGAGACUGCCGGUGAUAAACCGGAGGAAGGUGGGGACGACGUCAAGUCAUCAUGGCCCUUACGGGAUGGGCUACACACGUGCUACAAUGGCGCAUACAAAGGGCAGCAAGCCAGCGAUGGUUAGCGAAUCUCAUAAAGUGCGUCGUAGUCCGGAUUGGAGUCUGCAACUCGACUCCAUGAAGUCGGAAUCGCUAGUAAUCGUGGAUCAGAAUGCCACGGUGAAUACGUUCCCGGGCCUUGUACACACCGCCCGUCACACCAUGGGAGUGGGCUGCACCAGAAGUGGUUAGUUUAACCUUCGGGAGAACGAUCACCACGGUGUGGUUCAUGACU